Molecule: ribosomal RNA, 407 nt
Filed under: uncultured bacterium
Lineage: Bacteria
Description: bacterial SSU rRNA
Rfam family: Bacterial small subunit ribosomal RNA
Source: RNAcentral
AACGAACGCUGGCGGCAGGCUUAACACAUGCAAGUCGAACGCCCCGCAAGGGGAGUGGCAGACGGGUGAGUAACGCGUGGGAAUCUACCCAGUCCUUCGGAACAACACAGGGAAACUUGUGCUAAUACCGGAUACGCCCUACGGGGGAAAGAUUUAUCGGGAUUGGAUGAGCCCGCGUUUGGAUUAGCUAGUUGGUGAGGUAAAAGCUCACCAAGGCGACGAUGGGUAGCUGGUCUGAGAGGACGAUCAGCCACACUGGAACUGGAACACGGUCCAGACUCCUACGGGAGGCAGCAGUGGGGAAUCUUGCGCAAUGGGCGAAAGCCUGACGCAGCGACGCCGCGUGGGUGAAGAAGGCCUCGGGUUGUAAAGCCUGUCGAGUGGGAAAAGUAGGCACACUAAAUAAU